Molecule: ribosomal RNA, 465 nt
Filed under: uncultured bacterium
Lineage: Bacteria
Description: partial 16S ribosomal RNA
Rfam family: Bacterial small subunit ribosomal RNA
Source: RNAcentral
GACGAACGCUGGCGGCGUGCUUAACACAUGCAAGUCGAACGGAAAGGCCCCUUUGGGGGUACUCGAGUGGCGCACGGGUGCGUAACACGUGAGUAACCUGCCCUUGACUUCGGGAUAACUUCAGGAAACUGGGGCUAAUACCGGAUAGGAAUCCUUGCUGCAUGGUGGGGGUUGGAAAGCUUCGGCGGUUUUGGAUGGACUCGCGGCUUAUCAGCUUGUUGGUGGGGUAGUGGCUUACCAAGGCUUUGACGGGUAGCCGGCCUGAGAGGGCGACCGGCCACAGUGGGACUGAGAGACGGCCCAGACUCCUACGGGAGGCAGAGGUGGGGAAUAUUGCACAAUGGGCGGAAGCCUGAUGCAGCAACGCCGCGGGCGGGAUGACGGCCUUCGGGUUGUAAACCGCUUUCAGCAGGGGCGAAGCUUGUGGUGACGGUACCUGCAGAAGAAGCACCGGCUAACUACGUG